Molecule: ribosomal RNA, 253 nt
Filed under: uncultured bacterium
Lineage: Bacteria
Description: partial 16S ribosomal RNA
Rfam family: Bacterial small subunit ribosomal RNA
Source: RNAcentral
UACGGGGGGGGCAAGCGUUGUUCGGAAUUACUGGGCGUAAAGGGCUCGUAGGCGGCCAACUAAGUCGGAUGUGAAAUCCCCAGGCUCAACCUGGGAACUGCAUCCGAUACUGGAUGUCUUGAAUUCGGGAGAGGGAUGCAGAAUUCCAGGUGUAGCGGUGAAAUGCGUAGAUAUCUGGAGGAAUACCGGUGGCGAAGGCGGCAUCCUGGACCGACAUUGACGCUGAUGAGCGAAAGCCAGGGGAGCAAACGGG